Molecule: ribosomal RNA, 253 nt
Filed under: uncultured bacterium
Lineage: Bacteria
Description: partial 16S ribosomal RNA
Rfam family: Bacterial small subunit ribosomal RNA
Source: RNAcentral
UACGGAGGAUGCAAGCGUUAUCCGGAAUGAUUGGGCGUAAAGCGUCCGCAGGUGGCAAUGUAAGUCUGCUGUCAAAGCGUCUGGCUCAACCAGAUAAAGGCAGUGGAAACUACAUAGCUAGAGUAAGGUAGGGGUAGAGGGAAUUCCUGGUGUAGCGGUGAAAUGCGUAGAGAUCAGGAAGAACACCGGUGGCGAAAGCGCUCUGCUGGGCCGACACUGACACUGAGAGACGAAAGCUAGGGGAGCGAAUGGG